UAGGCAGAAGCCAAAUUGGGCGCCUAACUGUUAAUUAGGAAGUUGUAGUAAUGCGGACUACCUGUCUAG
This 69-nucleotide transfer RNA is filed under the name Rochia nilotica. Its description in RNAcentral is "tRNA-Asn". The record is from RNAcentral. Lineage: Eukaryota; Metazoa; Mollusca; Gastropoda; Trochida; Tegulidae.